GAACUGGGGGAGCUGGGAGGGACUGGGAGUGUCCCCAGUGAUGUCCCCGUGUCUCCUUUGAUGUCCCAAUGUCCCAAAUCACCUCAACGUCCCAAAUGUCCUCAGUGACCCCACUGAUGUCCCAAUGUCCCCAGUAUCCCCAGUCCCCCGAUGCCCUCAGUGCCUCCAGUGCCCCCAACGUCCUCAUUGUCCUCGCAUGUCCUCAGUGUUCCCGAUGUUCCCCCCAACAUACCCAUAUCCCCGCUGUCCCCAACGUCCCCAUCCCGCCAAUGUCUUAAGGUCCCUGAUGUGUGCUAUGUCCCCAAAAUCCCCAGAGUCCCCAAUAUCCCCUUCAUGUCCCUCAUUUCAAUAUCCUCGAUAUCCCCAGUAUCCCCAAUGUCCCCACAGUGUCCAAAUGUUCUCAAUGUUACAAUGGCCGCCAAUGUCCCCAGUCCCCCCAAACCCCCUGAUGUCACCAAUGUCCCAACAGCCCCGUGUCCCCAACCUGCCCAAUGUCUUCAACUUCUCCAGUGUCCCUGAAUGCCCCCUGUCCCUGCCAAUGUCCUCACUGUCUCCAGGUGCUCUGUGUCACUGCACCGAGUCGCUCCGGCAGCGCCUGGAGGAGCUGCGGAAGCUGCAGCUGCAGCGCCGGGGGGAGCGGGAGCUGCUGCGGGGACGUUGGGGACAGGCCCGGGACCUGGUGCUGCACUUGCGGGGACAGCGCAGGGACAGCACCGGGGACACCCCCGGGGACAACAGGGACACCCCCGGGGACAGCAGGGACACCCCUGGGGACACCAAGGACACCCCUGGGGACACCAAGGACACCCCUGGGGACGUCUGGGACACCAAGGACACGCCUGGGGACAUCAGGGACACCCUCAGGGACACUCGGGACAUCUCCAGGGACACCCCUGACACCAGCACCAAGGUAUAUGUGGUCCCCCCCCAUGUUCCCUCAUCCCCCCUGUGUCCCACUCCCACUGCACCCACCAUGUUCCCCUUCUUGUGUCCCCCAGUGUCCUUCCCCCUCCCUGGCUCCCCGGCCCCCUUGGGCACCCUCCAAUGUGUUCCUUAUG
RNAcentral lists this long non-coding RNA (1058 nucleotides) under Cyanistes caeruleus (blue tit). Its description in RNAcentral is "lncRNA (ENSCCEG00000001727.1)". The record is from RNAcentral. Lineage: Eukaryota; Metazoa; Chordata; Aves; Passeriformes; Paridae.